Gossypium raimondii (Peruvian cotton) is the source of this 137-nucleotide non-coding RNA. Lineage: Eukaryota; Viridiplantae; Streptophyta; Magnoliopsida; Malvales; Malvaceae. The record is from Rfam.
UGUUAAAAAUUUCAUCAUCUUAAAAACUGGUGUGGAUGAUAAAAUAAUCUAACAAUGAGACGUGGCAUGCCACGUGUACCUUAUGCUGAUGUACAAGAACCAGUUUUUAAUAGUAGAAAUAGAUGAAAUUUUUAAUA